AACGAACGCUGGCGGCAUGCCUAACACAUGCCAGUCGAACGAGACCUUCGGGUCUAGUGGCGCACGGGUGCGUAACGCGUGGGAACCUGCCCUUAGGUUCGGAAAAACUCCCCGAAAGGGGUGCUAAUACCGGAUAAUGUCUUCGGACCAAAGAUUUAUCGCCUUUGGAUGGGCCCGCGUUGGAUUAGCUAGUUGGUAGGGUAAAAGCCUACCAAGGCGACGAUCCAUAGCUGGUCUGAGAGGAUGAUCAGCCACACUGGGACUGAGACACGGCCCAGACUCCUACGGGAGGCAGCAGUGGGGAAUAUUGGACAAUGGGCGAAAGCCUGAUCCAGCAAUGCCGCGUGAGUGAUGAAGGCCUUAGGGUUGUAAAGCUCUUUUACCCGGGAUGAUAAUGACAGUACCGGGAGAAUAAGCUCCGGCUAACUCCGUG
RNAcentral lists this ribosomal RNA (433 nucleotides) under uncultured bacterium. RNAcentral's name for it is "partial 16S ribosomal RNA". It matches the Rfam family "Bacterial small subunit ribosomal RNA", at positions 29 to 507 of the family's 1533-position model. The record is from RNAcentral.